AAACAUGGUUCUAAGAAAAUAAUUUAGAAUCUAACCUGCUCAAUGCUCUUGUAAAUAGCCGCAGUAUCUUAACUGUGCAAAGGUAGCAUAAUCAUUAGUCUUUUAAUUAAGGACUGGAAUGAAUGGUUGGACUAAAUAAUUAUGUCUCAUCAUUAUAUUUCAAAUUUUAUAUUUUAGUAAAAAAGCUAAGAUUUAUUUUAAAGACAAGAAGACCCUAUCAAGCUUUAUAAUUUAAAUUUAACAUCAAUAUAAAUAAAAAAAUUAUUUUACUGGGGCAGUAAGUAGUCUAAUACUACUUGAAUAUUAUGAUCUCAAUUCUUGAAAUAUCAAAAAGUUUUUAAACAGGAAUAAGUUACUGUAGGGAUAACAGCAUAAUUUUAUUAAAGAGUUCUUAUCAUCAAUAAAGUUUGUGACCUCGAUGUUGGAUUAAGAAUCCUAUUUCACGCAAUAGUUAAAUUAGGGAGUCUGUUCGACUUUUAAACUCUUCCAUGAUCUGA
This 497-nucleotide ribosomal RNA is filed under the name Megacormus gertschi. RNAcentral describes it as "partial 16S ribosomal RNA". It matches the Rfam family "Bacterial large subunit ribosomal RNA", at positions 1824 to 2608 of the family's 2925-position model. The record is from RNAcentral. Lineage: Eukaryota; Metazoa; Arthropoda; Arachnida; Scorpiones; Euscorpiidae.